UGACCCUGAGAAUGGGCAAAGAGAUACCUAGUUGUUGGUUGUGUUCUUUUAUCCGUCAUGGGCAGAGCAGAUGGCAGUUCUUUGUUCAUCCUAGCUUGAUACCUGGCUUAAUGGUCAAAGAUGUUUAUGCCUAGGACUCAUAA
This is a small nucleolar RNA of Acomys russatus (golden spiny mouse), 143 nucleotides long. RefSeq annotates it as small nucleolar RNA SNORA48. The transcript has a single exon. The record is from RefSeq and is a predicted model, not a curated record. Lineage: Eukaryota; Metazoa; Chordata; Mammalia; Rodentia; Muridae.